Non-coding RNA from Mus caroli (Ryukyu mouse), 1078 nucleotides. NCBI's taxonomy places the organism in Eukaryota, Metazoa, Chordata, Mammalia, Rodentia, Muridae. The record is from RefSeq and is a predicted model, not a curated record.
CACAGCUUCCUUGCAGCUUCUCCUUUGCCGGUCCACACGCGCCACCAGUUAGCCAUGGAUGACGUUAUCGCUGCGCUCGUCAUCGACAAAGGCUCCGGCAUGUGCAAAGCCGGCUUCGCGGGUGACAAUGCUCCCCGGGCUGUAUUCCCCUCCAUCGUGGGCCGCCCUAGGCACCAGGGUGUGAUGGUGGGUAUGGGUCAGAAGGACUCCUACGUGGGCGACGAGGCCCAGAGCAAGAGAGGUAUCCUGACCCUGAAGUACCCCAUUGAACAUGGCAUUGUCACCAACUGGGACGAAAUGGAGAAAAUCUGGCACCACACCUUCUACAAUGAGCUGCGUGUGGCCCCUGAGGAGCACCCUGUGCUGCUCUCUGAGGCCCCCCUGAAUCCUAAGGCCAACCGUGAAAAGAUGACCCAGAUCAUGUUUGAGACCUUCAACACUCCAGCAUUGUACGUAGCCAUCCAGGCUGUGCUGUCCCUGUAUGCCUCUGGUCGUACCACUGGCAUUGUGAUGGACUGUGCCCAUCUACGAGGGCUAUGCUCUCCCUCACGCCAUCCUGUGUCUGGACCUGGCUGGCCGGGACCUGACAGACUACCUCAUGAAGAUCCUGACUGAGAGUGGCUACAGCUUCACCACCACAGCUGAGAGGGAAAUCGUGCGUGACAUCAAAGAGAAGCUGUGCUAUGUUGCCCUAGACUUCGAGCAAGAGAUGGCCACUGCCGCAUCCUCCUCUUUCCUGGAGAAGAGCUAUGAGCUGCCUGAUGGCCAGGUUAUCACUAUUGGCAAUGAGCGGUUCCGAUGCCCUGAGGCUCUUUUCCAGCCUUACUUCUUGGGUAUGGAAUCCUGUGGCAUCCAUGAAACUACAUUCAAUUCCAUCGUGAAGUGUAACGUUGACAUCCCUAAAGAUCUCUCCAAUGAGUAUAUUAGAGACAUAAGAACGCCUCAAAUAAAUAAUGCUUUUGAUCGAGUUGGAUUUCUGAGGAUGGAAUCUUUCUACCUUACUAAAGAACAGGAUGUGGAAACAGUUUUUCUUCUCAUCAAGUUUGUACGUACUUAUUAUACCAUCUAUCAAGUGUGA